Molecule: transfer RNA, 74 nt
Filed under: Candidatus Kentrum sp. SD
Lineage: Bacteria; Pseudomonadati; Pseudomonadota; Gammaproteobacteria
Description: Candidatus Kentron sp. SD tRNA_Thr_TGT
Rfam family: tRNA
About the family: Transfer RNA (tRNA) molecules are approximately 80 nucleotides in length. Their secondary structure includes four short double-helical elements and three loops (D, anti-codon, and T loops).
Source: RNAcentral
GCCCCGAUAGUUAAACGGCAUAACAGGUGAUUUGUAAUCACCUAUUGGGGGUUCGAUUCCCUCUCGGGGCUCCA